This 67-nucleotide transfer RNA is filed under the name Dicerorhinus sumatrensis (Sumatran rhinoceros). RNAcentral describes it as "tRNA-Asp". It matches the Rfam family "tRNA". Rfam says of the family: Transfer RNA (tRNA) molecules are approximately 80 nucleotides in length. Their secondary structure includes four short double-helical elements and three loops (D, anti-codon, and T loops). Further hydrogen bonds mediate the characteristic L-shaped molecular structure. tRNAs have two regions of fundamental functional importance: the anti-codon, which is responsible for specific mRNA codon recognition, and the 3' end, to which the tRNAs corresponding amino acid is attached (by aminoacyl-tRNA synthetases). tRNAs cope with the degeneracy of the genetic code in two manners: having more than one tRNA (with a specific anti-codon) for a particular amino acid; and 'wobble' base-pairing, i.e. permitting non-standard base-pairing at the 3rd anti-codon position. The record is from RNAcentral. Lineage: Eukaryota; Metazoa; Chordata; Mammalia; Perissodactyla; Rhinocerotidae.
GAGAUAUUAGUAAAAAUUACAUAACUUUGUCAAAGUUAAGUUAUAGGCUAAAUCCCUGUAUAUCUCC